GAGUUUGAUCAUGGCUCAGAACGAACGCUGGCGGCAGGCCUAACACAGCAAGUCGCACGCUUCUCUUCGGAGGGGCGUGGCGCACGGGUGAGUAACGCGUGGGAACGUGCCCUGGGGCCGGGAAUAACAGCGGGAAACUGCUGCUAAUACCCGGUACGCCCUGCGGGGGAAAGGAGCAAUCCGCCCUGGGAGCGGCCCGCGUUGGAUUAGCUAGUUGGUGGGGUAAGAGCCUACCAAGGCGACGAUCCAUAGCUGGUCUGAGAGGAUGAUCAGCCACACUGGGACUGAGACACGGCCCAGACUCCUACGGGAGGCAGCAGUGGGGAAUAUUGGACAAUGGGCGCAAGCCUGAUCCAGCCAUGCCGCGUGAGUGAAGAAGGCCCUAGGGUUGUAAAGCUCUUUCGCACGCGACGAUGAUGACGGUAGCGUGAGAAGAAGCCCCGGCUAACUUCGUGCCAGCAGCCGCGGUAAUAC
This 474-nucleotide ribosomal RNA is filed under the name uncultured bacterium. Its description in RNAcentral is "bacterial SSU rRNA". It matches the Rfam family "Bacterial small subunit ribosomal RNA", at positions 9 to 526 of the family's 1533-position model. The record is from RNAcentral.